RNAcentral lists this ribosomal RNA (253 nucleotides) under uncultured bacterium. RNAcentral describes it as "partial 16S ribosomal RNA". It matches the Rfam family "Bacterial small subunit ribosomal RNA", at positions 524 to 776 of the family's 1533-position model. The record is from RNAcentral.
UACGUAGGGUGCGAGCGUUAAUCGGAAUUACUGGGCGUAAAGCGUGCGCAGGCGGUUCGUUGUGUCCGAUGUGAAAGCCCCGGGCUUAACCUGGGAAUGGCAUUGGAAACUGGCGAGCUUGAGUGCGGCAGAGGGGGGUGGAAUUCCGCGUGUAGCAGUGAAAUGCGUAGAGAUGCGGAGGAACACCGAUGGCGAGGGCAGCCCCCUGGGUCGACACUGACGCUCAGGCACGAAAGCGUGGGGAGCAAACAGG